GCUUGCUUCAGCAUGCAUAUACUAAAAUUGGAAUAAUACAGAAAAGAUUAGCAUGGCCCCUGCUCAAGGUUGAUCUGCAAAUUCAUAAAACAUUCCAUAUUUUA
Molossus molossus (Pallas's mastiff bat) is the source of this 104-nucleotide small nuclear RNA. Lineage: Eukaryota; Metazoa; Chordata; Mammalia; Chiroptera; Molossidae. The record is from RefSeq and is a predicted model, not a curated record.